CUUUUGACCUGAAGUAAUCUGUUGUGUCUUCCAUGCUCUGAAGUUUAUUCCAGGUAGUCUACAAGUGAUGCAAUGAAAUCAGGAGAAAAGAGAUCUUAUCUAGUGCUGUGCGGCAGAAGUUUUCCACCCGGCAACAGGAUGACGUCAGCGGCCGGGAGGGCAACCAAUCAGCAGACGGAAUGAAUCAGAGCGUGCUGGGAUUUGGCUCAACUGUCUCCUAGC
This is a long non-coding RNA of Choloepus didactylus (southern two-toed sloth), 222 nucleotides long. RefSeq lists it as uncharacterized. The transcript has 3 exons. Lineage: Eukaryota; Metazoa; Chordata; Mammalia; Pilosa; Megalonychidae. The record is from RefSeq and is a predicted model, not a curated record.